GAUGAACGCUGGCGGCGUGCUUAACACAUGCAAGUCGAACGAGAAGUGAAGACGGAAACCUUCGGGCGGAAGGCUUUAUUUCGAGUGGCGGACGGGUGAGUAACGCGUGGGUAUCCUGCCUCAUACAGGGGGAUAACAGUUGGAAACGCCUGUUAAUACCGCAUAAGACCACAGCACCGCAUGGUGCGGGGGUAAAAACUCCGGUGGUAUGAGAUGGACCCGCGUUCGAUUAGCCAGUUGGCGGGGUAACGGCCCACCAAAGCGACGAUCGAUAGCCGAUCUGAGAGGAUGACCGGCCACAUUGGGACUGAGACACGGCCCAAACUCCUACGGGAGGCAGCAGUGGGGAAUAUUGCACAAUGGGGGAAACCCUGAUGCAGCGACGCCGCGUGAGUGAAGAAGUAUUUCGGUAUGUAAAGCUCUAUCAGCAGGGAAGAAAAUGACGGUACCUGAGUAAGAAGCCCCGGCUAACUACGUG
RNAcentral lists this ribosomal RNA (478 nucleotides) under uncultured bacterium. Its description in RNAcentral is "partial 16S ribosomal RNA". It matches the Rfam family "Bacterial small subunit ribosomal RNA", at positions 28 to 507 of the family's 1533-position model. The record is from RNAcentral.